AGCUCGGAUUCAGACUCGGAUUUCAGUGGCUUAAGCGAUUCCACAGAUUACUCAUGUAUUGAAACGGAUGGUUGGAGUAUGGAAUGCAGAUAGCGAAAAUGAAAUUGAAGAAUAAACUGAAGCUAUUGAGCGAAUAGCUAUUGAAGCUAUUCGGCUAUCGCCUUCUAACCAACGAUUGAGUGUCGCAGGGUAUCCAUACAUCUCUGUGCCAUGUCUGUCGUAGCAUCGCCGGUAAAAAAUAUUCUGCAUGAUGACAAAAACAUGAAUGUUUUUGGAAGUGAUUUUGGAAUUUAAUAUUUUAAUUUUCAUGAUAUUGAAGUUAUGGUAAUGACUAUGUCAUUAAAAUAUUAUGGUCAAGUUUAGAGAUAAAGUUUAGGUGUAAUAGCCCAUAUACACAAUAAAAUAUUUACAUACUUUACACCAGUGAGUGUAAAGUUAAGAAUCCCACAAUCAAUGCUGCCUUUCCAAGUCUGUUUUUGUUCUCUCUUUUGAAUUAAUUGUAGUGACUGGGAUAGGAGGAAGUAUUUCCUGGGUAUUUUAUUGGUUGUUUUGCCACACACUUUUAACACAACACACAAAAGAACACAAAUAAUGUCAUUGUGUUAACAGUGUCAGUCCAAAACUAUUUAUAUUCUUUAUUUAUCUUAUUUAUUUAUUUACCCAACAGACGUCCAUCAGCCCACUCACAUUAAAGAGGAAGAGGAGGAUCCACAGCCCCCCCACAUUAAAGAGGAAGAGGAGGAAGAGUGGAUCACUCAGGAGGAAGAGUGUCUUCUAGGGCAGGAGGAGGCUGAUCUCAGCAAGUUUCCACUGACUGUUGUCUCUGUGAAGACUGAAGAGCAUGAAGACAAACCACCUGAGUCCUCACAGCUUCAUCACAGUCCAAUGGAAAAAGUUUGGACACCCCUGCCAUAUGGUCUCAACAUCAAAGGUCUAUUUCCCUACGAAGACCAUGCAUCCUGCCCAUCAACCAAUGGCCUCACCACCGAAGUUUGAUCACUCUAUGGAGGCUGUACACCCCUCCCAUCCCCACACCACUUCAACACCGCUGGCCCAUCACCAAAUGUCCACACCUAUGGUCCUUCACCCGGCGUACACAAUAGCUUGCUACCUGAAUCCACCUGAGAAUAAAAAGGCAGCUUUCCUGGCACCAGACAGGAGAGAUGCAGGCAACCCAUCUAUUGAGGACACUAUCUGUUAUCAACCACAGGCAGAAAAAUCAUGGACGCCAUGUGAUGGAUGUAGGGAGGAGUUGGAAAAAAAGUGGCCAGAAAAAUAAGGAAUUGAAGAAGUCCUCUUGAAAAUAGAUCCGGUCCAAGUCAGAGUACUUCAAACUCUCUGCGACUUGGUUGGAGACAAAUACAGCGACGGCCCUCCUCAACAAUCGGGCCAGCAAGAGCUCUUUCCUGAGAGCGGCGUAUUCAUAUCAUUGUUCCGCCUUGCUGCCAUGAGACAUGCUGCAAAGCCCAAAUGUAUGCGUUUAUUUUGACCUCUUUUUUUUACAGUAGAGGAGUGUCAAAAUGCUGUCCCUUUUUGACGCCCUGGAAACAAACCUGCAGGAACACCAAAGCGCAUCCUUAACCGGAAAAAAGUUGAAGGAAUCCUUACGUAUGUCCUGAGAUGCAGUACCCUUCCUGAUUGGGACGAUAUUGAGGAGGUCAAGCUCAAGAAAGCUUUGGUAAACAAAAGUCAGGCCAGAGACGGUUUUAAGUAGGCCCUUGUACCUGUCAAGUUCAUUCUAUGGUAGGAUGUUUCCUUGGUAAACAUGUUCAAUAUUUUGGUCUAGGUUUGCGCGGUAUAUGUUGUAAAAAAUGGCCCUAUGAUGUAGCUUUUAGUACCAGGUUAUACUGUGAUAAUGCAUAUUGAGCUGUGCUGUGUCAAGCAAAUUUGGCAGUGAUGCACCCUCACUAACAAGCUAGCGGCUAAUAUCCUUUUACAGUUCAAAGUUGUUUCCAAAAUAAAAAAAAAUGCAACUGGAAAUGACGCAGUAUGUUACUGCUUACAUAAUCAGGUAUAUUAGUAGCUUUUGUAACCAAUUUCAACAUGUUUCAAUGAUCAUUUGUGUACCAAAUGUUAUAUUGUUAUCGCAGGAGGCUGUUCUAUUGUUUACAACAGUGUUUCUUAAUCAUAGGGCUGGGGCCCACUGUUUGGCUGCGAGUACCCCUUGGAAGCCGCCAAUAAAUAUCUGUUUCUUAGCUGUGGUCCGUCCAUAUGGGCCGCAAUGGUACUCGCUUGUAAUCCACUUUAGUGUAGAAUGACUCAUUCAGUGUUUAUAUUUCAUUUGGCCCCGGACCCCUCUGUAGUGGAAAAUUCUGAGACCCCUCUGUGGUGGAAAAGUUGGUCGUGCCCCAAGGUUAAAAAUGUUAAGAAUCCCUGGUUUUCAAUGUGUGAUUAUUUUUUUGUAUGUAGACCAGUUCCAGACAGCACGGUUACAAUUUUAUAAAUGUAUUUCAGUUUUUGCUUGGAAUAUUUCAAAAAUGGAAAUGUUGUCAUUUACUCGCCCUCUUACUGAGAUGAAGUCAAGUGUUUUUUUAACUAAGGUACCUGGUUUGCUCAACAAGGAGUUAAAAAAACUACACCUGACUUUUUCACAAUAACAAAGUGAGUACU
Molecule: long non-coding RNA, 2610 nt
Organism: Nerophis ophidion (straightnose pipefish)
Lineage: Eukaryota; Metazoa; Chordata; Actinopteri; Syngnathiformes; Syngnathidae
Exons: 4
Source: RefSeq, a predicted model, not a curated record